CUCAGCUGAGCCUGGUAGAUGCCAGCUGACCGGCUGCAGCCCCUGAGUAGAGGUUGGCUGUCCUAGCAAUAGAGUAGGGCGGGGGCACAGCAGACAUGGGACCAUCAUCUGGAUUCCUAGACGUGCAACUGCAAGUUUGGGAUGUGAUGGAGAACGAGCUGCACAAGUCUCUGGGCUCCUGUAAAAGAUUGGUUGCAGAAAUGUCCUCAGAGUUGUUGGGAGGAUUCAAUAGAAGAUGCAUGCAAAGCACCUGGCUGAAUGCCCAGAGCCCUGCAGACACUCAGGAAUGAGUAACCAUGCAGAUUUUCUACGCCUUUAGACCAGAUAUUCUAAGAAACUUCCUGCUAUAGAUUAACUAGAUCCUGAUUGUGUUUUUCAUUUCCAGGCUUAGAAGAAAUAAAGGAAAUAUCCCAGGAGCAAAAACAAAACACACACAUGCUCCUCUCAAGAGUCACUGGCAUCCCAGCUGAAAAGUCAGCUCUACACCUAUGGGACCUAUGGGCCUGUUUCUGAGCUCUGUUUUGUCUCUUUGGUCUGAGUGUCUAUCUGAGGCCAAUACCACAGUACCAAAUGCGAUUGCUUUAGAGGAAGUCUUGAAAUCAGAUGAGCCGACUAGGAUUCCUGGCACCAUCGUGAACGGCUCUGGUGGGCACAGGCAGCCCUCUGCUGCUUCUGAUCUUAGAGAAAUGAAAAUAAAGUCAGCCUCCAUAAAAUUAUGAAGAAGAAAGGCAGUAUCAUAAUGAUUAUGCAGGAACCAAGGACUGGCCUGGAAGAUGGGCCCCCAAGCUCACAGGGACACCAGCAGGCACUGCUUCUAGACAUGGAGCCUCAGUUCCAGAAUGUCCCGUGACAUGACCAGGAGUAGGGAACCAGCCCUCCCGACCUCCAUGUCUUAUUUGCCAGGCAGGGGUAACUGCAGGCUGGCCCUGACCAGGAUGACCACUGGCUCCCACUGUGGAUGCAUUUCGUGCGUGGCCUGCAUUGGACAUCGGCUCACCCAUGUGCUGGGGUGUCCAGGGUCCAGGGGAAGCUCCAGGACACAUUUGAGGAUCAGGAGAGCAACCUGCAUAGUGCAGGACUCUUGUCAGGGAGACCACGACCCGGGAGCCUUUCCUAGAAGACACAGAGUCCCCAAAAAUACCUGUGACAAGGGUCUCAUCACAGCACUGUCUGAGAGUGCUUGGAGAGAGGGAACCUGCCUGCAGCUGUUCCCAGAGCAGUGGGGCGGGGGACACUCCCCUACUGAAGAAGGCAUUUCCUUUUGGCGCCUCCAGUUCCCCCUGCCAGGACGUCAGCACCCAGGCUCUGAUGUGGGCUGCUGGGGGCCACGGCACUGCAAUGCUGCCCUGGAUUGAAUGGGGCGGGGGCUAUAGAUGUAUAAUACAAGUUGGAUUUUAGAGACUUGGUAUGUGGCAUAGAGUCUCAAAUGUCCAAAGAUGUGUCGCAUUGAUUUCAGGGUGAGUGGAUAGUUGUUCUGAUAUACUGAGUUCAGUAAAAUACAUCGGCAGCAGGAAUUUUACCGGUUACUGUUUCGUUUUUGUAAAUAUGGCUACCACAAAAUAUAAGGGCACGCAGGUUCACGCCCUCACCCAGCACUGGCCUCCCCUUCCCAGACAAUCAGCCACAUCUUCGCCUGCCAGCAUGGCCCCUUGUUCUCAGGGCUCCUGCCCUCAUGCUCCUGUGUCCUCCAGUCCCCCUGCCCUCUAGGAAGCCUCGUGGCUGAUGGGGCUUUGCUCAACCUGGUCUCGCGCUCACCUCCACCUUUGGCUCUAAGGCUUGUCAUCCCUAA
RNAcentral lists this long non-coding RNA (1789 nucleotides) under Homo sapiens (human). RNAcentral's name for it is "non-protein coding LINC01880:17". Lineage: Eukaryota; Metazoa; Chordata; Mammalia; Primates; Hominidae. The record is from RNAcentral.